CCUACGGGCGGCAGCAGUGAGGAAUAUUGGUCAAUGGGCGGGAGCCUGAACCAGCCAAGUCGCGUGAGGGACGACGGUCCUAUGGAUUGUAAACCUCUUUAGGCGCGGAGCAAUGCCGUGCACUUGUGCCCGGAGGGAGAGUACCUGCAGACUAAGCAUCGGCUAACUCCGGGCCAGCAGCCGCGGGAAUACAGAGGAUGCGAGCGGUAUCCGGAUUUAUUGGGUUUAAAGGGUGCGUAGGCGGAGUGUUAAGUCAGCGGUAAGAGGUCCGGGCUCAACUCGGGCCGGCCGGUGAAUCUGGGGAUCUUGAGUGGGCGAGAAGUAGGCGGAAAGCGUGGUGGAGCGGUGAAAUGCA
This 355-nucleotide ribosomal RNA is filed under the name uncultured bacterium. RNAcentral describes it as "partial 16S ribosomal RNA". It matches the Rfam family "Bacterial small subunit ribosomal RNA", at positions 338 to 690 of the family's 1533-position model. The record is from RNAcentral.